This 199-nucleotide long non-coding RNA is filed under the name Ananas comosus (pineapple). RNAcentral's name for it is "long non-coding RNA (ACOM_LNC016740)". The record is from RNAcentral. Lineage: Eukaryota; Viridiplantae; Streptophyta; Magnoliopsida; Poales; Bromeliaceae.
UAUAACAAACCACGAAGUUCAAAAACCGAUACUCCAUCUUAAAAUCUUUAGAUAAUACCAUAAUUCCAUUUGAUUCAGUUCCCGGCAUGCAAAUCGCAUUCACAACACGCGCCCAAUCCCGAAACGAAUCAAAUCCGGCCUGUAAGUACUCAAUUCCAUCGGCACGAGCUUCCAUCCCCAGCACAGAAGCUAUCGUAUC